RNAcentral lists this ribosomal RNA (858 nucleotides) under Euhadra quaesita. Its description in RNAcentral is "partial 16S ribosomal RNA". The record is from RNAcentral. Lineage: Eukaryota; Metazoa; Mollusca; Gastropoda; Stylommatophora; Camaenidae.
UUUGCAUAAUGGAUUAACUAUAAAUUAUUAGAUUAAUUAUCACGAAGUAGUUCUGAGCUAAAUAUAAUAUAAUAUUAGUUUGUUAGAUCUGGUGUAGCAAAACCUUUCCCAAAAUUAUAUUUAGGGGUGAUAGGCCUCUCAAAAACUAGGAUAUCUUGAUUCCAAUAAAAUGUAUUUAGUACAGUCAAUACAUUUAUUAAGUGUUUAGGCUUAAUAACAAUAUUAAUUUAUAUACUACAUUAUAUAUACGUUUUAAUAAAUACUAUACAUACUACAAUAUAUUAUACUUCUAUAAAAAUUAUAAAUAGUAAUUGGAUACUAUUAAAUAAUAUACAUUGUGAAUAAUGUUGGUAUUAGUAUUAUAUGUAAGUUUUAAUAAGGAACUCGGCAAAAGUGCUCCUCAACUGUUUAUCAAAAACAUAACUAUGUGUAUAUAUUCAUAGCGGUAUCUGCUCAAUGAUUAUUAAAUAGCCGCAGUAUACUGACUGUGCAAAGGUAGCAUAAUCAAUUGGCUUAUAAUUGAAGUCUGGAAUGAAGGAAAGUAUGGGGAGCAACUGUCUCAAAAAAAAUACGAGAAUUUAUUUAUGAAGUGAAAAUCCUUCUCUCAAUAUAAGGGACGAGAAGACCCUAGAAAUUUUUAGUAAUACGGGUAUAUCCUUAGUAAUUUUCGCUGGGGCGGCGGAGUAACAUUGAACUUACUUAUAUAACAUGCGCCUCGUUUGGCAAUUGAUAAAAUUACUCUAGGGAUAACAGCAUAAUAUUUAAAAGUUUGUGACCUCGAUGUUGGACUAGGACAUAAUAACCUAAAAGGUUUUUUACAGUGCUCUGUUCGAGCAUAAACUCCUACAUGAUCUGAGU